RNAcentral lists this ribosomal RNA (1133 nucleotides) under Bacillus licheniformis. RNAcentral describes it as "bacterial SSU rRNA". It matches the Rfam family "Bacterial small subunit ribosomal RNA", at positions 59 to 1174 of the family's 1533-position model. The record is from RNAcentral. Lineage: Bacteria; Bacillati; Bacillota; Bacilli; Caryophanales; Bacillaceae.
CAGUCGAGCGGACCGACGGGAGCUUGCUCCCUUAGGUCAGCGGCGGACGGGUGAGUAACACGUGGGUAACCUGCCUGUAAGACUGGGAUAACUCCGGGAAACCGGGGCUAAUACCGGAUGCUUGAUUGAACCGCAUGGUUCAAUCAUAAAAGGUGGCUUUUAGCUACCACUUACAGAUGGACCCGCGGCGCAUUAGCUAGUUGGUGAGGUAACGGCUCACCAAGGCGACGAUGCGUAGCCGACCUGAGAGGGUGAUCGGCCACACUGGGACUGAGACACGGCCCAGACUCCUACGGGAGGCAGCAGUAGGGAAUCUUCCGCAAUGGACGAAAGUCUGACGGAGCAACGCCGCGUGAGUGAUGAAGGUUUUCGGAUCGUAAAACUCUGUUGUUAGGGAAGAACAAGUACCGUUCGAAUAGGGCGGCACCUUGACGGUACCUAACCAGAAAGCCACGGCUAACUACGUGCCAGCAGCCGCGGUAAUACGUAGGUGGCAAGCGUUGUCCGGAAUUAUUGGGCGUAAAGCGCGCGCAGGCGGUUUCUUAAGUCUGAUGUGAAAGCCCCCGGCUCAACCGGGGAGGGUCAUUGGAAACUGGGGAACUUGAGUGCAGAAGAGGAGAGUGGAAUUCCACGUGUAGCGGUGAAAUGCGUAGAGAUGUGGAGGAACACCAGUGGCGAAGGCGACUCUCUGGUCUGUAACUGACGCUGAGGCGCGAAAGCGUGGGGAGCGAACAGGAUUAGAUACCCUGGUAGUCCACGCCGUAAACGAUGAGUGCUAAGUGUUAGAGGGUUUCCGCCCUUUAGUGCUGCAGCAAACGCAUUAAGCACUCCGCCUGGGGAGUACGGUCGCAAGACUGAAACUCAAAGGAAUUGACGGGGGCCCGCACAAGCGGUGGAGCAUGUGGUUUAAUUCGAAGCAACGCGAAGAACCUUACCAGGUCUUGACAUCCUCUGACAACCCUAGAGAUAGGGCUUCCCCUUCGGGGGCAGAGUGACAGGUGGUGCAUGGUUGUCGUCAGCUCGUGUCGUGAGAUGUUGGGUUAAGUCCCGCAACGAGCGCAACCUUUGAUCUUAGUUGCCAGCAUUCAGUUGGGCACUCUAAGGUGACUGCCGGUGACAAACCGGAAGGAAGG